CGCGUAGGCGGGUUUGUAAGUCAGAGGUGAAAUCCUGCAGCUUAACUGCAGAACUGCCUUUGAUACUGCAGAUCUUGAGUUUGGAAGAGAGAGACGGAAUUCCAGGUGUAGUGGUGAAAUACGUAGAUAUCUGGAAGAACACCAGUGGCGAAGGCGGUCUCUUGGUCCAUAACUGACGCUGAGGCGCGAAAGCGUGGGGAGCAAACAGGAUUAGAUACCCGAGUAGUCC
This 229-nucleotide ribosomal RNA is filed under the name uncultured bacterium. RNAcentral describes it as "partial 16S ribosomal RNA". It matches the Rfam family "Bacterial small subunit ribosomal RNA", at positions 568 to 796 of the family's 1533-position model. The record is from RNAcentral.